Molecule: ribosomal RNA, 564 nt
Filed under: Triticum aestivum (bread wheat)
Lineage: Eukaryota; Viridiplantae; Streptophyta; Magnoliopsida; Poales; Poaceae
Description: partial small subunit ribosomal RNA
Source: RNAcentral
AUGAUCUCUCCAAACAGGCACAAGCUUAUCGCCAAAUUAAGUCCCGGCCGUGAGGCUUAUCCAGGGGAUGUUUUCUAUUUGCAUUCGCGCCUUUUAGAAAGAGCCGCGAAAUUAAAUUCUCUUUUAGGCGAAGGAAGUAUGACCGCUUUACCAAUAGUUGAGACUCAAUCUGGAGACGUUUCCGCCUAUAUUCCUACUAAUGUAAUCUCCAUUACAGAUGGACAAAUAUUCUUAUCUGCGGAUCUAUUCCAUGCCGGAAUUCGACCCGCUAUUAAUGUGGGUAUUUCAGUUUCCAGAGUAGGAUCCGCGGCUCAAAUUAAAGCCAUGAAACAAGUAGCUGGCAAAUCCAAAUUGGAACUAGCUCAAUUCGCAGAGUGACAAGCCUAUUUCGCCUCUGCUCUCGAUAAAACAAGUCAGAAUCAAUUGGCAAGGGGUCGACGAUUAAGUGAAUUGCUUAAACAAUCCCAAGCAAAUCCUCUCCCAGUGGAAGAGCAGAUAGCUACUAUUUAUACCGGAACAAGAGGAUAUCUUGAUUCGUUAGAAAUUGAACAGGUAAAGAAAUAG